GGGGGCGUAGCUCAGAUGGUAGAGCGCUCGCGUAGCAUGCGAGAGGUACGGGGAUUGAUACCCCGCCCUUCCA
RNAcentral lists this transfer RNA (73 nucleotides) under Trichonephila inaurata madagascariensis. It matches the Rfam family "tRNA". From Rfam's summary of the family: Transfer RNA (tRNA) molecules are approximately 80 nucleotides in length. Their secondary structure includes four short double-helical elements and three loops (D, anti-codon, and T loops). Further hydrogen bonds mediate the characteristic L-shaped molecular structure. tRNAs have two regions of fundamental functional importance: the anti-codon, which is responsible for specific mRNA codon recognition, and the 3' end, to which the tRNAs corresponding amino acid is attached (by aminoacyl-tRNA synthetases). tRNAs cope with the degeneracy of the genetic code in two manners: having more than one tRNA (with a specific anti-codon) for a particular amino acid; and 'wobble' base-pairing, i.e. permitting non-standard base-pairing at the 3rd anti-codon position. The record is from Rfam by way of RNAcentral. Lineage: Eukaryota; Metazoa; Arthropoda; Arachnida; Araneae; Nephilidae.